GAUGAACGCUGGCGGCGUGCCUAAUAUAUGCAAGUCGAGCGAACGGACGAGAAGCUUGCUUUUCUGAUGUUAGCGGCGGACGGGUGAGUAACACGUGGAUAACCUACCUAUAAGACUGGGAUAACUUCGGGAAACCGGAGCUAAUACCGGAUAAUAUUUUGAACCGCAUGGUUCAAAAGUGAAAGACGGUCUUGCUGUCACUUAUAGAUGGAUCCGCGCUGCAUUAGCUAGUUGGUAAGGUAACGGCUCACCAAGGCUACGAUGCAUAGCCGACGUGAGAGGGUGAUAGGCCACACUGGAACUGAGACACGGUCCAGACUCCUACGGGAGGCAGCAGUAGGGAAUCUUCCGCAAUGGGCGAAAGCCUGACGGAGCGACGCCGCGUGAGUGAUGAAGGUCUUCGGAUCGUAAAACUCUGUUAUUAGGGAAGAACAUAUGUGUAAGUAACUGUGCACAUCUUGACGGUACCUAAUCAGAAAGCCACGGCUAACUACGUG
This 497-nucleotide ribosomal RNA is filed under the name uncultured bacterium. RNAcentral describes it as "partial 16S ribosomal RNA". It matches the Rfam family "Bacterial small subunit ribosomal RNA", at positions 28 to 507 of the family's 1533-position model. The record is from RNAcentral.